RNAcentral lists this ribosomal RNA (248 nucleotides) under uncultured bacterium. RNAcentral describes it as "partial 16S ribosomal RNA". It matches the Rfam family "Bacterial small subunit ribosomal RNA", at positions 333 to 597 of the family's 1533-position model. The record is from RNAcentral.
UGCUACCUACGGGGCGCAGCAGUGGGGGAUAUUGCACAAUGGGGGAAACCCUGAUGCAGCGACGCCGCGUGAGUGAAGAAGUAUUUCGGUACGUAAAGCUCUAUCAGCAGGGAAGAAUAGUGACGGUACCUGACUAAGAAGCCCCGGCUAACUACGUGCCAGCAGCCGCGGUAAUACGUAGGGGGCAAGCGUUAUCCGGAUUUACUGGGUGUAAAGGGAGCGUAGACGGCUGUGCAGGUCUGAAGUGA